GAGGCAAGUGUUGAUGUGUGAAGUGAGGGAACAGUUAACAUUUGUAUGUCUCCUCGUGGAAAACAGUCUGGAUGGAGAACAUCUUGGCAUCCAAAGGGAUGUAGGUUGAAAGGGAAGAUUGGGUACCAGAAGAGAAGAAUAAACAUGAAAGAGGAAUGGCAACCACUAUACUGAGGGUCUAGAAAACAUAUUUAUAUGAUUUCACUGAAUUUUCAACUGCACUACGGGGUAUAUUUACAAACCUAGCGGCCAUCAAGCAAAGGAAUAUUCUCUGAGAAACAUCUGCCCUCAUCCAAUGAGUAAGCAACUAACGCUGCUUUCUCAGUAAGAGAGGUUAAGCUUCCUUCUAGUCGAUCCUAAAAAGGCACAGCUGAGGAGUUAGGAUGUCUUUCAAACUCUUACGUGAGCUUGGAUAUGGUUGGUUCACAGGGCCUGACUGGCUAUUGAGCACGCAUUGCAUAUCUGCUUAGACAUUUCCUUUGGCCAGAACAAAGGCCCUUGAGAUAAAGAUGCAACUUCCCCCCGACAUUAGCAUUUUUCUUUAGGCUAGGAACUGAUUGCUGCACUCACCUCCCAGCUCACCUGUGACCAACCAGCUGGAGACAACAGACUGCCACCCUGCUGUGUUCACAGAGACAGAAGACCUACCUGCUAUUUCCAUCAAUCGCUGUGCCGACAGAGCAGUCUCGCGACUAUUGUAAAAGGGACAUUUCAACCCUAUGUGAAACAUCCUCUUUGAGGGUAUAUAACCACCCUUAUACCCAAACAUCUUUGGAGUGCUCUGUUCCUUUGUGGAAAGACUCUCCCGGGUUAUAAUCCUCAGAUUUAAGCUCAGAAUAAACUCACCCAAAUUUUCAUUUAUAGAUUGGAUAUGGAUUAUUUUCGUCGACAAGGUGAUGACCACCUGGACUCAAGGGGAGCAAUGGAGAUGGAGAAGAAAGGAACAAAUGUGAAACAACUUUAAAAAGAAGAGACAGUACACCUGGGCAGCAGAUUAGAAAUAAAGUAAAGCAAGAGUCAAAGACCACAGCGAGAUUUCAAGCCUGGGUAAAGGCACUAAUUAGAACAAAGGAAGACUGCAGCAAAGCGACUCUGGCUUGUAGAGUGGAGAAGGACAUCUAAGAAAUGACCACUAUGAAGCUAGCAGCCAUGGACAUGGUCUCAAGCACAUCUUUUAAAAACUUUUGAACUUACUGAGACCCAUUCUCUCUUCACUGGCAUCUCCAAUUCCAAAGAUAAGAAUAUCAUUUGGGGCACUUUUUAAGAUUAUAACCACGCUCAUAUUGACAAGAACUGUAAACAGCAGCUUGACAAUUUUUCAGUUGAAAACAAAUAUACGUAAACUCUCAAAAACAUUUAUUCAUUAAUUAGUAGAUACUUUUAGUCACAAAAAAUGGUUCCUUUUUCCUUAUUUCAAAGCAAAUAAUUUCUAGAAUCAUGUCUGAUUACCAUAUUGUUAUUAUAUUCCAGUUCAUUUUAUGCGCAGAGUUAUAGUCCUCAUCCUAUCUUCUAGAGUCCUAGACUGAAGAGAUUAUAUGGUGUGAAGGAGCUGCACAUGGACAUUUACUCUACACCAGUGCUUCUUAAAACUUUUUGGUCUCAGGAACCCUUUAUGCUCUUAAAAAUUAUUGAGGACUCAAGAGAGCUUUUGAUUAUAGGCUUUAUAGCUGUUGACAUCUACUGCAUUUGAUAUCAAAACAGAAAUGUUUAAAACAAUUAUCUAUAAAUUCAUUUUAAAAUAACAAUAAUAGAUCCAUUAUACAUUAAUAUAUAUAUAUUUAUUUUAAUGAAAAGUAACAUUUUCCAACCAAAAAAGUUUAGCGAGAAGAGUGGCAUUAUUGGACAUUUUUGCAAAUUUCUUUACUGUCUGGCUGAAGAGAAGAUAGCUGAAUUCAUACUGCUUCUAUGGUCAAUCUACUGAAAUACAUUAUUUCAGUUAAAGGAUAUGGAGAAAAUCCAGCCUCGCACAGAUAUGCCAUUGGAAAAAGGAAUAUCUUAAUAGCCUUUUAAAAAGAUUAUCUUUGAUGGCCCAGAAGUGGUAGUCAUAACAAGUGGUAGUUUC
Molecule: long non-coding RNA, 2062 nt
Organism: Equus asinus (donkey)
Lineage: Eukaryota; Metazoa; Chordata; Mammalia; Perissodactyla; Equidae
Source: Ensembl